UACAGAGGGGGCCAGCGUUAUUCGGAAUUAUUGGGCGUAAAGGGCGCGUAGGCGGCCCUGCGUGUCUUCCGUGAAAUCCCUCGGCUCAACUGAGGACGUGCGGAAGAAACUGCAGGGCUCGAGUCCGGGAGAGGAGGGUGGAAUUCCCAGUGUAGCGGUGAAAUGCGUAGAUAUUGGGAGGAACACCGGUGGCGAAGGCGGCCCUCUGGACCGGUACUGACGCUGAUGCGCGAAAGCGUGGGGAGCAAACGGG
Molecule: ribosomal RNA, 253 nt
Filed under: uncultured prokaryote
Description: partial 16S ribosomal RNA
Rfam family: Bacterial small subunit ribosomal RNA
Source: RNAcentral